Molecule: ribosomal RNA, 632 nt
Filed under: uncultured bacterium
Lineage: Bacteria
Description: bacterial SSU rRNA
Rfam family: Bacterial small subunit ribosomal RNA
Source: RNAcentral
GACGAACGCUGGCGGCGUGCCUCAGACAUGCAAGUCGUACGGGGCAGCGCAAGCUGCUGAGUGGCGGACGGGUGAGUAACACGUGGGCAAUCUACCCACGCGCCCGGGAUAACACCGCGAAAGUGGUGCUAAUACCGGAUGAACCGAGUGUAGCGCAUGCUAUGCUGGGCAAAGGUGGCCUCUUCACAAUGCUACCGUGCGAGGAUGAGCCCGCGGCCCAUUAGCUAGUUGGUGAGGUAACGGCUCACCAAGGCGACUAUGGGUAGCCGGCCUGAGAGGGUGGCCGGCCACACUGGGACUGAGACAAGGCCCAGACUCCUACGGGAGGCAGCAGUCGGGAAUCUUGCACAAUGAGCGAAAGCUUGAUGCAGCGACGCCGCGUGAGCGAUGAAGGCCUUCGGGUUGUAAAGCUCUGUCUUCAGGGACGAAAGUUUCACUGCGAACAGUGGUGGAAGUUGACGGUACUUGAGGAGGAAGCCCCGGCUAACUACGUGCCAGCAGCCGCGGUAACACGUAGGGGGCGAGCGUUGUCCGGAAUUACUGGGCGUAAAGGGCGCGUAGGCGGCCUGUUAAGUCGAGUGUGAAAUCGCACAGCUCAACUGUGCAACUGCGCUUGAAACUGGCGGGCUUGA